UACGUAGGGGGCAAGCGUUGUCCGGAAUCAUUGGGCGUAAAGAGCGUGUAGGCGGCCCGGUAAGUCCGCCGUGAAAGUCCAGGGCUCAACCCUGGAAUGCCGGUGGAAACUGCCGGGCUGGAGUCCGGAAGAGGCGAGUGGAAUUCCUGGUGUAGCGGUGAAAUGCGCAGAUAUCAGGAGGAACACCAAUGGCGAAGGCAGCUCGCUGGGACGUGACUGACGCUGAGACGCGAAAGCGUGGGGAGCAAACAGG
This 253-nucleotide ribosomal RNA is filed under the name uncultured bacterium. RNAcentral's name for it is "partial 16S ribosomal RNA". It matches the Rfam family "Bacterial small subunit ribosomal RNA", at positions 524 to 776 of the family's 1533-position model. The record is from RNAcentral.